Long non-coding RNA from Amblyraja radiata (thorny skate), 65 nucleotides. RefSeq lists it as uncharacterized. NCBI's taxonomy places the organism in Eukaryota, Metazoa, Chordata, Chondrichthyes, Rajiformes, Rajidae. The transcript has 4 exons. The record is from RefSeq and is a predicted model, not a curated record.
CCUCAGGAAAACAGCCAAUACAAUCAAGCACCACUCACACCCUGGUCAUUCCCACCUCCUCUCUC